Molecule: ribosomal RNA, 484 nt
Filed under: uncultured bacterium
Lineage: Bacteria
Description: partial 16S ribosomal RNA
Rfam family: Bacterial small subunit ribosomal RNA
Source: RNAcentral
GAUGAACGCUGGCGGCGUGCUUAACACAUGCAAGUCGAACGGUGAAGCAGGAGCUUGCUCUUGUGGAUCAGUGGCGAACGGGUGAGUAACACGUGAGCAACCCGCCCCUGACUCUGGGAUAAGCGCUGGAAACGGCGUCUAAUACUGGAUAUGUGAUGUGACCGCAUGGUCUGCAUCUGGAAAGAAUUUCGGUUGGGGAUGGGCUCGCGGCCUAUCAGCUUGUUGGUGAGGUAAUGGCUCACCAAGGCGUCGACGGGUAGCCGGCCUGAGAGGGUGACCGGCCACACUGGGACUGAGACACGGCCCAGACUCCUACGGGAGGCAGCAGUGGGGAAUAUUGCACAAUGGGCGGAAGCCUGAUGCGGCAACGCCGCGUGAGGGAUGACGGCCUUCGGGUUGUAAACCUCUUUUAGCAGGGAAGAAGCGAAAGUGACGGUACCUGCAGAAAAAGCACCGGCUAACUACGUGCCAGCCGCCGCGGUAA